GCCUUGACGGGCUGGGGCUGCUCGAGUACCUGUUCAUCGAGGAUUCCCAGCUCAGCUCGCUCUCACCCGAAGCUCUCCGGGGCCUCCGGGGGCUCCAGUUCCUGAGUUUGGCCAACAACCACCUGGAGUCGCUGCCCAGGGACCUCUUCAGGGACUUGGGGACACUGAGGCACCUGGACCUGCGCGGGAACCCGCU
Long non-coding RNA from Camarhynchus parvulus, 196 nucleotides. RefSeq lists it as uncharacterized. The record is from RefSeq and is a predicted model, not a curated record. The transcript has 4 exons. NCBI's taxonomy places the organism in Eukaryota, Metazoa, Chordata, Aves, Passeriformes, Thraupidae.